RNAcentral lists this long non-coding RNA (620 nucleotides) under Homo sapiens (human). Its description in RNAcentral is "HSALNT0261240". The stretch from base 399 to 481 matches the Rfam family "mir-692 microRNA precursor family", at positions 1 to 83 of the family's 109-position model. The record is from RNAcentral. Lineage: Eukaryota; Metazoa; Chordata; Mammalia; Primates; Hominidae.
CGCUCUCUUCCAGGACAUCAAGAAGCCAGCUGAAGAUGAGUGGGGUAAAACCCCAGACGCCAUGAAAGCUGCCAUGGCCCUGGAGAAAAAGCUGAACCAGGCCCUUUUGGAUCUUCAUGCCCUGGGUUCUGCCCGCACGGACCCCCAUGUACGUACCCGCUGCAUCCAUGGCUACCCAACCAUACCCCUCAAGCCUCUGCUCCCUUUGGGCAAAUUUCCUUCAGAGCCUCAUUUCACACCUGUCACAUUUUAAUCUGCAACUGGCUGCUCUCUCCCCCUCUUUUCCAGGGAUUGGGUUUCUAAUUUCUCCCUCUUCUCUCUCAGCUCUGUGACUUCCUGGAGACUCACUUCCUAGAUGAGGAAGUGAAGCUUAUCAAGAAGAUGGGUGACCACCUGACCAACCUCCACAGGCUGGGUGGCCCGGAGGCUGGGCUGGGCGAGUAUCUCUUCGAAAGGCUCACUCUCAAGCACGACUAAGAGCCUUCUGAGCCCAGCGACUUCUGAAGGGCCCCUUGCAAAGUAAUAGGGCUUCUGCCUAAGCCUCUCCCUCCAGCCAAUAGGCAGCUUUCUUAACUAUCCUAACAAGCCUUGGACCAAAUGGAAAUAAAGCUUUUUGAUGC